CCUACGGGAGGCAGCAGUGAGGAAUAUUGGUCAAUGGCCGUAAGGCUGAACCAGCCAAGUAGCGUGAGGGAAGACUGCCCUAUGGGUUGUAAACCUCUUUUAUGCGGGGAUAAAGGUGUCCACGUGUGGCGCUUUGCGAGUACCUGAAGAAAAAGCAUCGGCUAACUCCGUGCCAGCAGCCGCGGUAAUACGGAGGAUGCGAGCGUUAUCCGGAUUUAUUGGGUUUAAAGGGUGCGCAGGCGGAAUGUCAAGUCAGCGGUAAAAUUUCGGGGCUCAACCCCGUCGUGCCGUUGAAACUGGCGUUCUUGAGUGAGCGAGAAGUAUGCGGAAUGCGUGGUGUAGCGGUGAAAUGCAUAGAUAUCACGCAGAACUCCGAUUGCGAAGGCAGCAUACCGGCGCUCAACUGACGCUCAUGCACGAAAGCGUGGGUAUCGAACAGGAUUAGAUACCCGAGUAGUC
Molecule: ribosomal RNA, 459 nt
Filed under: uncultured bacterium
Lineage: Bacteria
Description: partial 16S ribosomal RNA
Rfam family: Bacterial small subunit ribosomal RNA
Source: RNAcentral